Molecule: ribosomal RNA, 253 nt
Filed under: uncultured bacterium
Lineage: Bacteria
Description: partial 16S ribosomal RNA
Rfam family: Bacterial small subunit ribosomal RNA
Source: RNAcentral
UACGUAGGGUGCAAGCGUUGUCCGGAAUUAUUGGGCGUAAAGGGUGUGUAGGUUGUCUUGUUAGUCCACUGUGAAAUUCUUCGGCUUAACCGGGGGUCCGCAGUGGAAACGGCAGGACUAGAGGAUGCGAGAGGUGUGCGGAACUCAUGGUGUAGGGGUGAAAUCCGUUGAUAUCAUGGGGAACACCAAAAGCGAAGGCAGCACACUGGCGCACUCCUGACACUGAAACACGAAAGCGUGGGUAGCGAAUGGG